Punica granatum (pomegranate) is the source of this 1136-nucleotide non-coding RNA. Lineage: Eukaryota; Viridiplantae; Streptophyta; Magnoliopsida; Myrtales; Lythraceae. The record is from RefSeq and is a predicted model, not a curated record.
AAUAAAAAAAUGUGCCGCUACCCCGCUGGUUUUCACACCUACAGUCACCAUUUGCGCUCUUUCGCUUUUCUUUCCUCCCGCAUGCUCGGCCCUGAAUCAUACUCAGCCCCUUUCUUCUCCUUUCCCGCUCUCCCAAACUGCCCGCCUAUCAAAAAAUGCUUGCGCUUCUUCCCAACAAUUGCCACCUGUUCAAACGCUUUCCACCUGCCCGUGCCUUCGAUCAUGCCCUCACCAGAAAUCUACGUUUUGUACAAUCUACCACUUCAAUGAUAUUGAUCAGGGCAACAUCAAGUUUGCACCGAGACCCGGGUUCAAAUCCCCUUAGAGUCAUCGGAGCGCUUUUGGCGUAAUUACCCGCUCCGUGCGCUGCCGGAGGUUCAUGGAGUCUCGGGAUUAGUCGGGUGAAGCUUAGACACCCGGGUUAGCAAAAAAAAAAAAUGAUAUUGAUCAGGGCUGCAUCGAAACGGCGACUAAUUCUGCAACCUAUCUCUCCCAUGCCAUUAUUCGGUUAUCCUCUACAAAAGCGUUCUUUGACAGCCCUGGUCUGCAUUCUUAGACAGCGUCUUGCCCUCAGUUGACGCAGACCUUCGUAGAGACGUCCGUUUCUGGAUUGCGGAACACAGAGAAGCAGCCGCCUCGCUGGGAAUGAUCUGCCUGAAGCCGGCAGACUAUUUGCAUCAUGGAUCCGCUACUUCACAAACCCAGAGGUCUGACCCCAUCUUUCGUUUAGAGUGCUCGCUUGCUCUUUCACUCUAAUUUAGUGAGAUGGCUAGGCCAAGAGUCGAUGGAUAACUGGAGAAAAAGAGGGGAACGACACUGCAUGAGGGAGAGAAAGAGAAGAAGAGCGGAAGAUCUAAUCGAUUUAUCUGAUUAGAGCACUGCGAUCCAUCUCUGAUAGUCAUUUACUAUCCAAGUGAACUGCAUAUUCUACCCUUUUUAAAAAAAAAAAAAUUCUUCCUGAUCAUAAAAUCUAAUUUUAGUUUUUGUCUUUAGGCCAUUAUGGUACACUUUCUUUAUAUCGCACGCUCAAAAAUUCUAUAUUGAAAAGGUGCACUUAGAGAUGAUGAAGUUCUUUAAACCUUGAAUGUUGUGUUGAAAACAAUGUUGCUGACAAAUGGCAAUUGAUUGUGCGUUUA